GACGAACGCUGGCGGUGUGCUUAACACAUGCAAGUCGAACGGUAAGGCCCUUUCGGGGGUACACGAGUGGCGAACGGGGGAGUAACACGUGAGUAACCUGCCCUCAUCUCUGGGAUAACAGUCGGAAACGGUUGCUAAUACUGGAUAUGAGCUUGCAAGGCAUCUUGUGGGUUGGAAAGAUUUUUUUUGGUUGGGGAUGGACUCGCGGCCUAUCAGCUUGUUGGUGAGGUAGUGGCUCACCAAGGCUUCGACGGGUAGCCGGCCUGAGAGGGCGACCGGCCACAUUGGGACUGAGAGACGGCCCAAAGUCCGACGGGGGGCAGCAGUGGGGAAUAUUGCACAAUGGACGGAAGUCUGAUGCAGCAACGCCGCGUGCGGGAUGAGGGCCUUCGGGUUGUAAACCGCUUUCAAUUGUGACGAAGCUUUUUUGUGACGGUAGCAGUAGAAGAAGCACCGGCUAACUACGUG
RNAcentral lists this ribosomal RNA (468 nucleotides) under uncultured bacterium. RNAcentral's name for it is "partial 16S ribosomal RNA". It matches the Rfam family "Bacterial small subunit ribosomal RNA", at positions 28 to 507 of the family's 1533-position model. The record is from RNAcentral.